UAUGGCCAUACCACCCUGAAUGCACCCAAUCUUGACUGAUCUUGGAAGCUAAGCAGGGUCGGGCCUAGUUCGUACUUGGAUGGGAAACUCAAUAAUAAAAAAUUGAAUUUUCCAAAU
RNAcentral lists this ribosomal RNA (117 nucleotides) under Chinchilla lanigera (long-tailed chinchilla). The record is from RNAcentral. Lineage: Eukaryota; Metazoa; Chordata; Mammalia; Rodentia; Chinchillidae.